ACGAAAGCGUCCAGUACUUUUGUUUUAGCGUUGUCACAAGUAAACGUCAGAGCUAGAUGGUUAGCUGUGUGUCUAAAUACCUGCAUCUUGCUUCCACAUGUAGCUAACGUUAGGAGCUUGGACUGUGAGUGGGGCUGAGAAAAUGGCUUCAUGUUCCAGAUCAUCUCUUCCAGAGGAAGAUUUCACCUGUCCUGUGUGCUGACAUCUUCAAGGAUCCCGUCCUCCUACCAUGUAGCCACAGCUACUGUAAAGUCUGUGCGCAGCACUGCUGGGAGUUGAAGGGGUUUCGGGAAUGCCCCUUUUGCAGAAAGAGAUUUUCAAUGGGUAAUCCUCCCUGUAACCUGGCACUAUAGAACCUGUGUGAGGCCUACCUUGAGGAGAGUCUAAAGUGCUCAGCAGUCUGCAUGGUGAGAAAUUCAAGUACUAUUGUCUGGAGGACAGGCAGCCCAUCUGUUUAGUGUGUCAAUCUUCUAGAAAACACAAGAGUAAUGACUGCUGCCCCAUAGAGGAAGCUGUUCAGGACCUCAAGGACAAGGGUGAACUCCAGAGAGCACUAAAACCCUCACAGGAGAUGCUGAAGGUGUUCAAAGAAGCUACAGAAAUCUGUACUCCCACAAUGCCUCACAUUCAGAGACAAUUCCAAGACACAGAGAUGGAGAUCAAGCAUGAAUUCAAGGAGUUUCAGCAGUUUCUUAGAGAUGAAGAGAAGGCCAGGAUUGACACACUGAGGCAGGAACAGUUUGUGAAGACUUCAGCAAUGGGUUAAUAGGAUUGACCAGUGGAGACAAGAGAUGUCAUCACUUGUAAACACAAUUGAAGCUAUAGAGGAUGAGCUGUGAGAUGAAGACACCUCAUUCCUUCAGGUCAGGACUGCUCUAAGUUAACAUGAUUUGUUGGUGCAUUUAUACUGAUAAAUAGUGAUAGAUAAAUAUCGGAAUUGAAUCUGGUAGUUUGUUCUUCUGCAUAACUACAAUACUAUAAUGGAAAGGUAAGUGAGCUGCAUCCUGUCUCUCUCUUCUCUGUGUGUUCGGAACUGCCACAGCACAACCCCCACUGACUCCUGAAGAUUCUUCCAGUGCACACUGCCAGAUCCAGAUACACAGCUGGUCUCAGGAGCACUGAUUGACAUGGCUAAACAUCUGGGCAAUCUGCAGUUCAAAGCUUGGGAGAAGAUGCAGAGGAAUGGGAUUGUCACUUACAAACUUUUUAAGCGCACGUGUUUCCGCACGGGCCCUUUUAGGCGCAGAACACGACACGGAACACAGCUACAGCAGAGAGGAAGAGAGCUCCUGUGAUUCUGGACCCCAACACUGCCCACUCACAAAUUGUCCUGUCUGAUGAUCUUACCAUUGGCACACACUUGGAGCACAGCAUGCAGCUUCCUGACAACCCAGAGAGGUUUGAUAAAUGGCCCUCGGUCCUGGGCUCUGAGGGCUUUGACUCAGGCUUACACACUUAGGAUGUUGUGGUUGUGGAAAAUGAAGAGUGGAUGGUGGGUGUUCUAUCAGAGUCUGCCCUGAGGAAGGGAGAAAUAAAGACUAGAGACCAGUCCUGGGAUUUAACACACUUGUAUGGUACAUACAAAGCUUUUCCCCCACCAAAUGACCAAAUCCUCCUCACUGUAGACUAUACCAGGACAAUUAGAGUGCAGCUGGACUGUGACAAAGGAACACUCUCAUUCUCUAACCCUGAUAAUGCCACACAUAAUAUACACACGUUCACACACACUUUUACUGAGAGAGUCUUUCCACAUCUUGGUAAUAACAGCAAAUACCCUCUGACGAUCUUACCUGGGGAGGUAACGUUAGUGAUAUCACCUGUCAAGUGUAAAGCUGAUCCAGACUCUGAGAAUGAAGAUGAAUUGAAGAAGAAUGCUUCUUUGUCUGUCAUUUUCAGAUCACGAAAACUGGUGUCUUUUGAUGUUUUUUAGUGGAACUGCAGUCAGAACCAGCUGAUACAAGUUGCAUUUGUUGUAAGCAAAAUGCUCUGUUCAUUUGGAUUUUAGUUGAUGUUUCAUGUUGAUAUGUUACCAAGAUAUAUUUUCAUUGUGCCAUUUUUUUGUCUUGAGAGAAGAGAAUAUUUUAUGUAAAGGUUAAUGAGUCCAUUAAGACAUGAUUAAAACAAUUCAUUUUUAACCGGA
This is a long non-coding RNA of Salmo salar (Atlantic salmon), 2140 nucleotides long. RefSeq lists it as uncharacterized. The record is from RefSeq and is a predicted model, not a curated record. Lineage: Eukaryota; Metazoa; Chordata; Actinopteri; Salmoniformes; Salmonidae.